UACGUAGGGUGCGAGCGUUAAUCGGAAUUACUGGGCGUAAAGCGUGCGCAGGCGGUUUUGUAAGUCAGAUGUGAAAUCCCCGGGCUUAACCUGGGAACUGCGUUUGAAACUACAAGGCUAGAGUGUAGCAGAGGGGGGUGGAAUUCCACGUGUAGCAGUGAAAUGCGUAGAGAUGUGGAGGAACACCGAUGGCGAAGGCAGCCCCCUGGGCUAACACUGACGCUCAUGCACGAAAGCGUGGGGAGCAAACAGG
This 253-nucleotide ribosomal RNA is filed under the name uncultured bacterium. RNAcentral's name for it is "partial 16S ribosomal RNA". It matches the Rfam family "Bacterial small subunit ribosomal RNA", at positions 524 to 776 of the family's 1533-position model. The record is from RNAcentral.